AACGACAUCGAAAGCUUGCUUUUGAUGGGCGUCGACCGGCGCACGGGUGAGUAACGCGUAUCUAUUUUUGCCCACCACUUGGGGAUAACCUUGCGAAAGUAAGACUAAUACCCAAUGAUAUCUCUAGAAGACAUCUGAAGGAGAUUAAAGAUUUAUCGGUGAUGGAUGGGGAUGCGUCUGAUUAGCUUGUUGGCGGGGUAACGGCCCACCAAGGCGACGAUCAGUAGGGGUUCUGAGAGGAAGGUCCCCCACAUUGGAACUGAGACACGGUCCAAACUCCUACGGGAGGCAGCAGUGAGGAAUAUUGGUCAAUGGACGAGAGUCUGAACCAGCCAAGUAGCGUGCAGGAUGACGGCCCUAUGGGUUGUAAACUGCUUUUAUAAGGGAAUAAAGUGAGUCUCGUGAGACUUUUUGCAGGUACCGCAUGAAUAAGGACCGGCUAAUUCCGUGCCAGCAGCCGCGGUAAUACGGAAGGUCCGGGCGUUAUCCGGAUUUAUUGGGUUUAAAGGGAGCGUAGGCCGGAGAUUAAGCGUGUUGUGAAAUGUAGAUGCUCAACAUCUGCACUGCAGCGCGAACUGGUUUCCUUGAGUACGCACAAAGUGGGCGGAAUUCGUGGUGUAGCGGUGAAAUGCUUAGAUAUCACGAAGAACUCCGAUUGCGAAGGCAGCUCACUGGAGCGCAACUGACGCUGAAGCUCGAAAGUGCGGGUAUCGAACAGGAUUAGAUACCCUGGUAGUCCGCACGGUAAACGAUGGAUGCCCGCUGUUGGUCUGAAUAGGUCAGCGGCCAAGCGAAAGCAUUAAGCAUCCCACCUGGGGAGUACGCCGGCAACGGUGAAACUCAAAGGAAUUGACGG
This 856-nucleotide ribosomal RNA is filed under the name uncultured bacterium. Its description in RNAcentral is "bacterial SSU rRNA". It matches the Rfam family "Bacterial small subunit ribosomal RNA", at positions 65 to 916 of the family's 1533-position model. The record is from RNAcentral.